CGAACGGGUGAGUAACACGUAAACAAUCUGCCUGCAGAUUCGGGAUAACCUUGCCAACGCGGGGCUAAUACCGGAUGUGGUCGGCGGUCCGCAUGGACUGUUGAUUAAAGAUACGCAAGAGUCGUCUGCAGAUGAGUUUGCGUCCCAUUAGCUAGUUGGCGGGGUAACGGCCCACCAAGGCGAUGAUGGGUAGCCGGCCUGAGAGGGUGAACGGCCACAUUGGGACUGAGAUACGGCCCAGACUCCUACGGGAGGCAGCAGUAGGGAAUUUUGCGCAAUGGGCGGAAGCCUGACGCAGCAACGCCGCGUGAGUGAUGACGGCCUUCGGGUUGUAAAGCUCUGUUGGACGGGAAGAAAAGACGCAUGAAGAGUGCGUUAUGACGGUACCGUUCGAGGAAGCUCCGGCUAACUACGUGCCAGCAGCCGCGGUAAUACGUAGGGAGCGAGCGUUGUUCGGAAUUACUGGGCGUAAAGGGAGCGUAGGCGGGUUUGUAAGUUAGGGGUUUAACGCACGGGCUUAACCCGUGUCCGGCCUUUAAUACUGCAAGUCUUGAGUGUGGGAGAGGGCGAUGGAAUUCCAGGUGUAGCGGUGGAAUGCGUAGAUAUCUGGAAGAACACCGACAGCGAAGGCAGUCGCCUGGCCCGAUACUGACGCUGAAGCUCGAAAGUCGGGGGAGCAAACAGGAUUAGAUACCCUGGUAGUCCCGACCGUAAACGAUGAACACUAGUUGCCGGGAGAGUCAAUCCUUUCGGUGACGAAGCUAACGCAUUAAGUGUUCCGCCUGGGGAGUACGCCCGCAAGGGUGAAACUCAAAGGAAUUGACGGAAUCAC
Molecule: ribosomal RNA, 832 nt
Filed under: uncultured bacterium
Lineage: Bacteria
Description: bacterial SSU rRNA
Rfam family: Bacterial small subunit ribosomal RNA
Source: RNAcentral